UACGAAGGGGGCUAGCGUUGCUCGGAAUUACUGGGCGUAAAGCGCACGUAGGCGGCUCGUUAAGUCGGAGGUGAAAUCCUGGAGCUCAACUCCAGAACUGCCUUCGAUACUGAUGAGCUCGAGUUCGGGAGAGGUGAGUGGAACUGCGAGUGUAGAGGUGAAAUUCGUAGAUAUUCGCAAGAACACCAGUGGCGAAGGCGGCUCACUGGCCCGAUACUGACGCUGAGGUGCGAAAGCGUGGGGAGCCAAACAGGG
This 255-nucleotide ribosomal RNA is filed under the name uncultured bacterium. Its description in RNAcentral is "partial 16S ribosomal RNA". It matches the Rfam family "Bacterial small subunit ribosomal RNA", at positions 524 to 777 of the family's 1533-position model. The record is from RNAcentral.